GUACUCACUUCAGCAGCACAUAUACUAAAAUUGGAACGAAGCAGAGAAGAUGGCCCCUGUGUGAUGAUGACAUGCAAAUUUGUGAAGUGUUCCAUAAUUUA
RNAcentral lists this small nuclear RNA (101 nucleotides) under Chinchilla lanigera (long-tailed chinchilla). The record is from RNAcentral. Lineage: Eukaryota; Metazoa; Chordata; Mammalia; Rodentia; Chinchillidae.